UGUGGGAGCGAGCUUGCUCGCGAUAGCGGUAUGUCAGACAUCGCUCUAUUGACUGACAGUGCGCCAUCGCGAGCAAGCUCGCUCCCACA
This 89-nucleotide unclassified non-coding RNA is filed under the name Pseudomonas jessenii. The record is from RNAcentral. Lineage: Bacteria; Pseudomonadati; Pseudomonadota; Gammaproteobacteria; Pseudomonadales; Pseudomonadaceae.